RNAcentral lists this ribosomal RNA (447 nucleotides) under uncultured bacterium. RNAcentral describes it as "partial 16S ribosomal RNA". It matches the Rfam family "Bacterial small subunit ribosomal RNA", at positions 29 to 523 of the family's 1533-position model. The record is from RNAcentral.
AACGAACGCUGGCGGCAGGCUUAACACAUGCAAGUCGAGCGCCCCGCAAGGGGAGCGGCAGACGGGUGAGUAACGCGUGGGGAUCUGCCUAGUGGUACGGAACAACACGGGGAAACUCGUGCUAAUACCGUAUAAGUCCUUCGGGAGAAAGAUUUAUCGCCAUUAGAUGAACCCGCGUCUGAUUAGCUAGUUAGUGAGGUAACGGCUCACCAAUGCGACGAUCAGUAGCUGGUCUGAGAGGAUGAUCAGCCACACUGGGACUGAGACACGGCCCAGACUCCUACGGGAGGCAGCAGUGGGGAAUAUUGGACAAUGGGCGCAAGCCUGAUCCAGACAUGCCGCGUGAGUGAUGAAGGCCUUAGGGUUGUAAAGCUCUUUCGCUGGGGAAGAUAAUGACGGUACCCAGAGAAGAAGCCCCGGCUAACUUCGUGCUAGCCGCCGCAGUAA